This 300-nucleotide unclassified non-coding RNA is filed under the name uncultured Agaricomycetes. RNAcentral's name for it is "sequence contains 5.8S rRNA gene, ITS2". The stretch from base 1 to 71 matches the Rfam family "5.8S ribosomal RNA", at positions 84 to 154 of the family's 154-position model. Lineage: Eukaryota; Fungi; Basidiomycota; Agaricomycetes. The record is from RNAcentral.
GUGAGUCAUCGAAUCUUUGAACGCAUCUUGCGCUCCUUGGCAUUCCGAGGAGCACGCCUGUUUGAGUGUCAUUAAAUUCCUCAAAUCCUCCAAUCUUGCCCACCAAGGGCUGGAGUGGUUGGUUUGGAUCGUUGGAGGCUUCUGAAUGCAGGCUCGCUUCGAAGGGCCUGCUCCUCUGAAAUGCAUUAGCAAUGGCCGUGGCGUCGUCGUUGGCAUGGUAAAAAUACUUGUUAUUUUCUGCCACUUGACACAGACAACCACCUCCCAUGCUUCUAAUCUGGCCACCUGUUUUCUCGGUGC